GAAUAUUGGACAAUGGGCGAAAGCCUGAUCCAGCAAUGCCGCGUGAGUGAUGAAGGCCUUAGGGUUGUAAGGCUCUUUUACCCGGGAUGAUAAUGACAGUACCGGGAGAAUCAGCUCCGGCUAACUCCGUGCCAGCAGCCGCGGUAAUACGGAGGGAGCUAGCGUUGUUCGGAAUUACUGGGCGUAAAGCGCACGUAGGCGGCUUUGUAAGUUAGAGGUGAAAGCCCGGGGCUCAACACCGGAAUUUCCUUUAAGACUGCAUCGCUUGAAUCCGGGAGAGGUGGGUGGAAUUCCGAGUGUAGAGGUGAAAUUCGUAGAUAUUCGGAAGAACACCAGUGGCGAAGGCGGCUCACUGGACAGGUAUUGACGCUGAGGUGCGAAAGCGUGGGGAGCAAACAGG
This 400-nucleotide ribosomal RNA is filed under the name uncultured bacterium. RNAcentral describes it as "bacterial SSU rRNA". It matches the Rfam family "Bacterial small subunit ribosomal RNA", at positions 359 to 776 of the family's 1533-position model. The record is from RNAcentral.